RNAcentral lists this ribosomal RNA (253 nucleotides) under uncultured bacterium. Its description in RNAcentral is "partial 16S ribosomal RNA". It matches the Rfam family "Bacterial small subunit ribosomal RNA", at positions 524 to 776 of the family's 1533-position model. The record is from RNAcentral.
UACAGAGGUCUCAAGCGUUGUUCGGAUUCAUUGGGCGUAAAGGGUGUGUAGGUGGCGCCGUUAGUCGGGUGUGAAAUUUCGGAGCUUAACUCCGAAACUGCAUUCGAUACUGCGGUGCUUGAGGACUGGAGAGGAGACUGGAAUUCAUGGUGUAGCAGUGAAAUGCGUAGAGAUCAUGAGGAACACCAAUAGCGAAGGCAGCUCGCUGGGACGGUACUGACGCUAAGGCGCGAAAGCGUGGGGAGCGAACAGG